CCUACGGGGGGCUGCAGUGGGGAAUAUUGGACAAUGGGCGCAAGCCUGAUCCAGCCAUGCCGCGUGAGUGAUGAAGGCCUUAGGGUUGUAAAGCUCUUUCGCCAGGGACGAUAAUGACGGUACCUGGAUAAGAAGCCCCGGCUAACUUCGUGCCAGCAGCCGCGGUAAUACGAAGGGGGCUAGCGUUGUUCGGAAUCACUGGGCGUAAAGCGUAUGCAGGCGGAUCGUUAAGUCGGGGGUGAAAUCCCGAGGCUCAACCUCGGAACUGCCUUCGAUACUGGCGAUCUUGGAGUCCGGGAGAGGUGAGUGGAACUGCGAGUGUAGAGGUGAAAUUCGUAGAUAUUCGCAAGAACACCAGUGGCGAAGGCGGCUCACUGGCCCGGUACUGACGCUGAGAUACGAAAGCGUGGGGAGCAAACAGGAUUAGAUACCCCAGUAGUC
Molecule: ribosomal RNA, 441 nt
Filed under: uncultured bacterium
Lineage: Bacteria
Description: partial 16S ribosomal RNA
Rfam family: Bacterial small subunit ribosomal RNA
Source: RNAcentral